GAAUGGAAUGAAACCAAACAUUGCAUGAAUGUUCCUUAUGGUGCUGACCAAGUGUUGUUACUUUGUAGCCGAUCCAUCAUCCAAGAUGGCCGCCAGCAUGGGACUUAGUUUAACAUAGGACCCUAUGGGAAAUGCAUACAAAUGACUUCUUUUAGAGAACCACUGAAUGGAAUGAAAUCAAACAUGGCAUGAAUGUUCCUAAUGUGGUGCUGACCAAGUGUUGUUACUUUGUAGCCGAUCCAUUAUCCAAGAUGGCCGCCAGCAGGGGACUUAGUUUAACAUAGGACCCUAUGGGAAAUGCAUACAAAUGACUUCUUUUAGAGAACCACUGAAUGGAAUGAAAACCAAACAUUGCAUGAAUGUUCCUUAUGAGG
This 374-nucleotide long non-coding RNA is filed under the name Mytilus galloprovincialis (Mediterranean mussel). The record is from RNAcentral. Lineage: Eukaryota; Metazoa; Mollusca; Bivalvia; Mytilida; Mytilidae.